GAUGAACGCUGGCGGCGUGCCUAAUACAUGCAAGUCGAGCGAACAGACGAGGAGCUUGCUCCUCUGACGUUAGCGGCGGACGGGUGAGUAACACGUGGAUAACCUACCUAUAAGACUGGGAUAACUUCGGGAAACCGGAGCUAAUACCGGAUAAUAUAUUGAACCGCAUGGUUCAAUAGUGAAAGACGGUUUUGCUGUCACUUAUAGAUGGAUCCGCGCCGCAUUAGCUAGUUGGUAAGGUAACGGCUUACCAAGGCAACGAUGCGUAGCCGACCUGAGAGGGUGAUCGGCCACACUGGAACUGAGACACGGUCCAGACUCCUACGGGAGGCAGCAGUAGGGAAUCUUCCGCAAUGGGCGAAAGCUUGACGGAGCAACGCCGCGUGAGUGAUGAAGGUCUUCGGAUCGUAAAACUCUGUUAUUAGGGAAGAACAAAUGUGUAAGUAACUAUGCACGUCUUGACGGUACCUAAUCAGAAAGCCACGGCUAACUACGUU
Molecule: ribosomal RNA, 497 nt
Filed under: uncultured bacterium
Lineage: Bacteria
Description: partial 16S ribosomal RNA
Rfam family: Bacterial small subunit ribosomal RNA
Source: RNAcentral